UACGAAAGGGGCUAGCGUUGUUCGGCCUUACGGGGCGUAAAGCGCACGUCGGCGGCUUGGUAAGUUGGGGGUGAAAUCCCAGGGCUCAACCCUGGAACUGCCUCCAAAACUGCUAGGCUAGAGGAUGCGAGAGGUUGGCGGAAUUCCGAGUGUAGAGGUGAAAUUCGUAGAUAUUCGGAAGAACACCAGUGGCGAAGGCGGCCAACUGGCGCAUUUCUGACGCUGAGGUGCGAAAGCGUGGGGAGCAAAUAGG
Molecule: ribosomal RNA, 253 nt
Filed under: uncultured bacterium
Lineage: Bacteria
Description: partial 16S ribosomal RNA
Rfam family: Bacterial small subunit ribosomal RNA
Source: RNAcentral